Long non-coding RNA from Perca fluviatilis (European perch), 711 nucleotides. RefSeq lists it as uncharacterized. The transcript is spliced from 2 exons. Lineage: Eukaryota; Metazoa; Chordata; Actinopteri; Perciformes; Percidae. The record is from RefSeq and is a predicted model, not a curated record.
UGAUCACCGGAAGAGAUACAAGUUCAGCGUGGCUGAGGGGGUGCAACCAGCGGCCGGGCUAGCAGAGUGAACAGUACAACAAAUGCACAACGAUGCAAUUAAAUUAAGGAUCCGUAUGUGGUAUGGUUAGCAUUAGCCUAUAGUUAAAAAAGGCUGCAGCUGCCUUAAUCACUCAUUUAAUGCACCACCCGGCCAGCAGCUAAAUUAUGCAAAUCAAUCACACCCACGAUGUUACGUGAACAGGUGCACGCUGUGUCUAGCUAACAUGAUACACGCUAACAUGCUGUGGUGGAUCCUCCAACGGUGACUUGUGCGUUCACAGAGGAAAAUUUACCUUCAGUGAGGUGUGAGGCCGUUCUGCUGUUUGUGGCUGCAGAGCUUUCUUCAGCUCAACAUGUUUGAACGAUCCGAGGAGCACAAUGGGACAGAGAGACAGAGUGGACUGGUUAUAUUAUGCUUUGAGAAUCAACAGCAGAAAGGAGGACUUCGCAAUACUCCGAAUGCCGUUUAGACAGAUAAGGAUUGGACUCAAUUGUUUGUUGGACUCUGGAGGAGGCCUACCACAUGGUCGUCGCAACCACGUCACGGGGCACGCUCUGGAGAGCACACAGCACCCACCACUCGCCACUGGAUUCCCUCGACUCAACUUCCCCUUUUUUGCCACCAGCACGUUUAUUGUAUAUACUUCACGCAUUAAAUUAUUUAAUCUUA